UCUGACACACACGGGCUAUUUUCUUCGACAGUUAGCCUCUCUGAGGCUCAGUUUCCACAAGGACCCGGGGAAAAGCUCCUUAGUUAUGAUGGAAGUCAGUGAGACGAAGAUUGCAAAGCCCCCCACACAGCGCCUGGCCAAGAGCAGACCUCCACUGGUGCAGAAUGGAUAUCAUCAUGUCACAGACUCAGGCAAGCCUGGUUCUGGCAGUCCCUACUGUCUGAUGGAGGAAGGUCCCAAGAAGGCCAUAAUCAGCCAUGGUCGUAAUCAGCAAUAGGAAUUUGCUUGUC
Molecule: long non-coding RNA, 290 nt
Organism: Cervus elaphus (red deer)
Lineage: Eukaryota; Metazoa; Chordata; Mammalia; Artiodactyla; Cervidae
Exons: 3
Source: RefSeq, a predicted model, not a curated record